CCUCUCGUAGGCGUUUCGAAAAUGAAUCAAAACUUUCAACAACGGAUCUCUUGGUUCUGGCAUCGAUGAAGAACGCAGCGAAAUGCGAUAAGUAAUGUGAAUUGCAGAAUUCAGUGAAUCAUCGAAUCUUUGAACGCACAUUGCGCCCGCCAGUAUUCUG
This 160-nucleotide ribosomal RNA is filed under the name Trichoderma tomentosum. Its description in RNAcentral is "5.8S ribosomal RNA". The stretch from base 31 to 160 matches the Rfam family "5.8S ribosomal RNA", at positions 1 to 130 of the family's 154-position model. From Rfam's summary of the family: 5.8S ribosomal RNA (5.8S rRNA) is a component of the large subunit of the eukaryotic ribosome. It is transcribed by RNA polymerase I as part of the 45S precursor that also contains 18S and 28S rRNA. Lineage: Eukaryota; Fungi; Ascomycota; Sordariomycetes; Hypocreales; Hypocreaceae. The record is from RNAcentral.